This 253-nucleotide ribosomal RNA is filed under the name uncultured bacterium. RNAcentral's name for it is "partial 16S ribosomal RNA". It matches the Rfam family "Bacterial small subunit ribosomal RNA", at positions 524 to 776 of the family's 1533-position model. The record is from RNAcentral.
UACAGAGGUCUCAAGCGUUGUUCGGAUUCAUUGGGCGUAAAGGGUGCGUAGGCGGCGCGGUAAGUCGGACGUGAAAUCCCUCAGCUUAACUGGGGAACUGCGUCCGAUACUGGAUGGCUUGGAUUUGGGAGAGGGAUGCGGAAUUCCAGGUGUAGCGGUGAAAUGCGUAGAUAUCUGGAGGAACACCGGUGGCGAAGGCGGCAUCCUGGACCAACAUUGACGCUGAGGAGCGAAAGCUAGGGGAGCAAACGGG